Molecule: transfer RNA, 77 nt
Filed under: Acidobacteriota bacterium
Lineage: Bacteria; Pseudomonadati; Acidobacteriota
Description: tRNA-Pro
Rfam family: tRNA
About the family: Transfer RNA (tRNA) molecules are approximately 80 nucleotides in length. Their secondary structure includes four short double-helical elements and three loops (D, anti-codon, and T loops). Further hydrogen bonds mediate the characteristic L-shaped molecular structure. tRNAs have two regions of fundamental functional importance: the anti-codon, which is responsible for specific mRNA codon recognition, and the 3' end, to which the tRNAs corresponding amino acid is attached (by aminoacyl-tRNA synthetases). tRNAs cope with the degeneracy of the genetic code in two manners: having more than one tRNA (with a specific anti-codon) for a particular amino acid; and 'wobble' base-pairing, i.e. permitting non-standard base-pairing at the 3rd anti-codon position.
Source: RNAcentral
CGGGGCGUAGCGCAGCCAGGUAGCGCAUCUGCUUUGGGAGCAGAGGGUCGCAGGUUCGAAUCCUGCCGCCCCGACCA